CAAUAACCCUGUGAGGUAGGGUUGCAUGGCUGAAGGGGGAAUAGAAGCCAGGCCUCCUGCAUCCCAUUCUGACAUUCUGAUCUCUGCACCAUGAUGACCCCCUAUUCAUAAUGUCAGUAUGUAAAUACAGUAUAUCUCACCAUAUUGUGGAAGACUGUGACCAGAUAACGUGGGUGACAUGCUCUGUCCAGGGACAACUGAUGGCUAACUUCAAGGCCCACUUUUAACGUCUGAUAUUUCUUUCUCUUUAUACUGGAUUUGGACAGGAGUGUACUUUGGAUAGAGGGUCCAUUCAGAACAGUAGACCAUCCGGUGCAAGGACACAUGGCCACCCUAUCUUCUAUCACAAACAUAUUUUCUCUGAAGCAAAUCCUACUGAUCUUGGUGACUCGACUUGCAAGUAAGCAGGCCAAGACUUAUUCCCUAUAGAUGAUGUUCCUUGUUUUCUUCUCUGUGAGCGCAAACAUCCAGGGUACUGAUAGGAACACCAAAAGAACCGUCACAGUGCAGCUGCAAAGCAUCUUCUAGAAGACACUCUGCUAACAGCACAAAGAGCCCAAAGUUCCCUUUUGGAGAAGUCCUAGAGCAUCCUCCAAGAAGGGAUGGCCUGCCAUAGAGCUCAGCAGUGCAGGACAGUGCGUGUGUGUGUGUGUGUGGGGGGGGGGCUGGUGAGAUUAUCAGUGAUGCGAUUAUCAGAGAUUAUCAGUGGUGUGGGGGCUGCAGUUUAUGUACCCUGCCCUAGGAGGAGGACAUUGCACAGUACAGCAUGGCUUGGACACACAGUAUGUUCCUAACCUUGGAUGUAGAUAGCAUAUGAGGCAACUGCUAUUCCUUAAAAAUGUUUAUUUCAGUGGAGUUUAGAGAUAGAGGUGGCCUCUUAGAUAUGAUAAGCAGCCUUGUUUAGGAUGUUAUGAAUGAGAACCAGAACCUUGAACUGCGUCCAGUAAAAACAACAGAGGAACCCAAUGUAGACUGUCCUCUAUUGGAGGACAUCUUCUAUAUUAAGGGUUAUCCUGUCCAAUUUCAGUUUAAAGAUCAAGAUCUGUUGCCAUACCAACUCUUAUCCUUUAUAUAAGGGUAAUCAGUCUCUAUCUAUCAUAGAUAUAGGCUGCUACAUCUGAUUACCUAGAUCACCUCUGGCAAAAUGUACUGUAUUUCUAGUUAAAUUAUAACAACUAUUUCUACACUUGCAUGUAUUCACAUAAGUUAGGACAUACAGAUUUUUAUACACGCACACCGACAGAUGAGUGAUACGUUUCUCCCAUUUUUGGAGAGCUAAAAGUGGCUAUUCUGCUAUCAAAUAGCAUACAAGAUGCUUUUAGUUACCUGUUGGAAAGAUGGAGCUAGUUGUGCCAGAACUCCUAGAAACAGAAAUGUACUGAUAAGAGUAACUGAAGUACCAUCGAUUCCAAUGCAUGUAUUUUGUGUGUGGCUAAAGCUGGGACCAUUCCAUUGUUUUCAGCACUCCUUUUAAGAACCCCCUUUGCUCCUCUGCAGGAGCCUUUCCCUUUCCUUCUUUGGUUGGAGUGCCUUGUGGUGACAGAAGCUUCCAGGUGCUUAAGGACAACACCACAUGAUCAUAGACCAGCCGCAAAGUGACAACGGUUUCUCUAUAUGCCAUGGCCUCUGUGCUCAGCUGCCUUGUGGGGCAGAAUCCCCAUUUUUUCCAGUAAAUAAAGGGGCUAAUUCCA
Molecule: long non-coding RNA, 1691 nt
Organism: Varanus komodoensis (Komodo dragon)
Lineage: Eukaryota; Metazoa; Chordata; Lepidosauria; Squamata; Varanidae
Exons: 2
Source: RefSeq, a predicted model, not a curated record